AUCCAUCUGACGAGUCCCAAAUAGGAUUAAACUUUCGUCUUGGAU
Schistosoma haematobium is the source of this 45-nucleotide non-coding RNA. The record is from Rfam. Lineage: Eukaryota; Metazoa; Platyhelminthes; Trematoda; Strigeidida; Schistosomatidae.